RNAcentral lists this ribosomal RNA (497 nucleotides) under uncultured bacterium. Its description in RNAcentral is "partial 16S ribosomal RNA". It matches the Rfam family "Bacterial small subunit ribosomal RNA", at positions 28 to 507 of the family's 1533-position model. The record is from RNAcentral.
GAUGAACGCUGGCGGCGUGCCUAAUACAUGCAAGUCGAGCGAACAGAUAAGGAGCUUGCUCCUUUGACGUUAGCGGCGGACGGGUGAGUAACACGUGGGUAACCUACCUAUAAGACUGGAAUAACUCCGGGAAACCGGAGCUAAUACCGGAUAACAUUUAGAACCGCAUGGUUCUAAAGUGAAAGAUGGUUUUGCUAUCACUUAUAGAUGGACCCGCGCCGUAUUAGCUAGUUGGUAAGGUAACGGCUUACCAAGGCAACGAUACGUAGCCGACCUGAGAGGGUGAUCGGCCACACUGGAACUGAGACACGGUCCAGACUCCUACGGGAGGCAGCAGUAGGGAAUCUUCCGCAAUGGGCGAAAGCCUGACGGAGCAACGCCGCGUGAGUGAUGAAGGUCUUCGGAUCGUAAAACUCUGUUAUUAGGGAAGAACAAAUGUGUAAGUAACUGUGCACGUCUUGACGGUACCUAAUCAGAAAGCCACGGCUAACUACGUG